Molecule: unclassified non-coding RNA, 198 nt
Filed under: soil metagenome
Description: partial internal transcribed spacer 1
Source: RNAcentral
CAAAGAGGAGAAUUCAGUUUUAUGCUGCUAGUGGCCCCUGGGCUGAAAUGGCUCCACCCUUUGUUGAACAAUUAACCUUUUUCGCUUCGGCAGCUGGGCUGACGCUUAUAGUCAGCCUGCCGCUAGACACCUUAACAAAAACCCUUGAUUGUAAUACUAUAGUCUAGCUGUAACAGCAAAAUAUUCGAAUGAAAAUCA